RNAcentral lists this ribosomal RNA (406 nucleotides) under uncultured bacterium. RNAcentral's name for it is "partial 16S ribosomal RNA". It matches the Rfam family "Bacterial small subunit ribosomal RNA", at positions 30 to 526 of the family's 1533-position model. The record is from RNAcentral.
AUUGAACGCUGGCGGCAGGCCUAACACAUGCAAGUCGAACGAGUUGCGGACGGGUGAGUAAUGUCUGGGAAACUGCCAUAUGGAUGGGGAUAACUACUGGAAACGGUAGAUAAUCCCGCAUACCAUCGAAUAUGCCCAUAUGGGAUUAGCUAGUAGGUGGGGGAAAGGUUCACCUAGGCGACGAUCCCUAGCUGGUCUGAGAGGAUGACCAGCCACACUGGAACUGAGACACGGUCCAGACUCCUACGGGCGGCAGCAGUGGGGAAUAUUGCGCAAUGGGCGCAAGCCUGAUGCAGCCAUGCCGCGUGUAUGAAGAAGGCCUUCGGGUUGUAAAGUCCUUUCAGCCGGGAGGCGUUACCCGCAGAAGAAGCACCGGCUAACUCCGUGCCAGCCGCCGCGGUAAUUC